This 433-nucleotide ribosomal RNA is filed under the name uncultured bacterium. Its description in RNAcentral is "partial 16S ribosomal RNA". It matches the Rfam family "Bacterial small subunit ribosomal RNA", at positions 29 to 507 of the family's 1533-position model. The record is from RNAcentral.
AACGAACGCUGGCGGCAUGCCUAACACAUGCAAGUCGAACGAGACCUUCGGGUCUAGUGGCGCACGGGUGCGUAACGCGUGGGAACCUGCCCUUAGGUUCGGAAUAACUCCCCGAAAGGGGUGCUAAUACCGGAUAAUGUCUUCGGACCAAAGAUUUAUCGCCUUUGGAUGGGCCCGCGUUGGAUUAGCUAGUUGGUAGGGUAAAAGCCUACCAAGGCGACGAUGCAUAGCUGGUCUGAGAGGAUGAUAAUCCACACUGGGACUGAGACACGGCCCAGACUCCUACGGGAGGCAGCAGUGGGGAAUAUUAGACAAUGGGCGAAAGCCUGAUCCAGCAAUGCCGCGUGAGUGAUGAAGGCCUUAGGGUUGUAAAGCUCUUUUACCCGGGAUGAUAAUGACAGUACCGGGAGAAUAAGCUCCGGCUAACUCCGUG